RNAcentral lists this ribosomal RNA (369 nucleotides) under Anoxybacillus flavithermus. RNAcentral describes it as "partial 23S ribosomal RNA". It matches the Rfam family "Bacterial large subunit ribosomal RNA", at positions 2402 to 2770 of the family's 2925-position model. Lineage: Bacteria; Bacillati; Bacillota; Bacilli; Caryophanales; Anoxybacillaceae. The record is from RNAcentral.
AAAGUGGGGCGUAAGGAACCGGUGGUUCCGAAGGGAAGGGCUAUCGCGCAACGGAUAAAAGCUACCCCGGGGAUAACAGGCUUAUCUCACCCAAGAGUCCACAUCGACGGGGAGGUUUGUCACCUCGAUGUCGGCUCAUCGCAUCCUGUGGCUGUAGUCGGUCCCAAGGGUUGGGCUGUUCGCCCAUUAAAGCGGUACGCGAGCUGGGUUCAGAAAGUCGUGAGACAGUUCGGUCCCUAUCCGUCGCUGGCGUAGGAAAUUUGAGAGGAGCUGUCCUUAGUACGAGAGGACCGGGAUGGAAGCACCGCUGGUGUACCAGUUGUUCCGACAGGAGCACAGCUGGGUAGCUAUGUGAGGAAGGGAUAAAAC